This 241-nucleotide ribosomal RNA is filed under the name uncultured bacterium. Its description in RNAcentral is "partial 16S ribosomal RNA". It matches the Rfam family "Bacterial small subunit ribosomal RNA", at positions 95 to 339 of the family's 1533-position model. The record is from RNAcentral.
GUGGCGGACGGGUGAGUAAUAUGUAGGAAAUCUGCCUUUAGGAGAGGGACAACAGAAGGAAACUUCUGCUAAUACCUCAUAUGAGCUACCUUGAAAUAGGUAUCUUGAAAGCUCCGGCGCCUAGAGAUGAGCCUGCACCUGAUUAGCUUGUUGGUAGUGUAAUGGUCUACCAAGGCGACGAUCAGUAGCUGGUUUGAGAGGAUGAUCAGCCACAAUGGGACUGAGACACGGCCCAUACUCC